GUUCUGCUCUUCCUCCGACAGCCACGCAGCGAGCUCACGAGGCAGCCUCCACACAUAAUGAAAGCAAACGCCACCAUAAAUCUCCCGCUCGGCGGAGGUCACUUCAGAAAAAUCGCCCGCUGCUCAGAUAAGCACCAGCUUUGCUGAGGAACAUGGAAGGGGGAAAACACCGACUGUGAUAAACACCAGCAGCUCCCUGCCUUCCACCUCCCUGCUGCAAAAUGGAUCAAUCUAUAAUAAGUAGUAGUUAUAUAUCAUAAGGCAGCAAUUCCUUUUAGUUGUUCCACUAUAAAAAAGCAUCCAGAUUUAGAACUUGACAGGAACCAGUAUCGCCUGCCCCCCAGAGCCGGCAGAAAGUCUGUGUAUGUCAUUCAGCCAGCAUGGAGUCUGGGUGUUUUAAAAGCUUUAAUUUGAAGGGGAUAAAAAACCUGGGCGUUAAGCAAUUUGGCUGUGGAUAUUUAAUGCAUCAGCCACGCUAUAGAAUUGGAGUCCUCUAUUUAAAAUGAGAAAUUGAAAACUUACACGCUCUGUAGGCAAGGUGUAAGUAAAUGUAGGAUGGUAAGCAGAAAUCAGCUGAGAACCUGCAGAAACGCCAUUAGAAGGACUAAUGGCAUGGUUCAGAAGUGGCCUUAAACAAAUGCUAGGGUGUCGUUUGUAAGUGUGUAAAACAGGUCUGGCUUUUAAUUAGCAGGAGCCAUAUCUCCCUGUGUUUAGGAAAAGGCAUUACUUCUCAAAGAGAAUAUCCUAACGGGGUCUACAUAGGGACCAGGAGGAAACAAUGGCCCGGGAGUUGAGAUUUGCCUCAAGGCACGUUCCUCCUCAAUGGCAGCGUGGAGAUUGGAACUCAGUCUCCUUAUCUCUAAUUUCCACUCUAACACACUUAUUGUAGGUAGAAAAAAUGCAUCCCAAAGAUGUCUACUUCUUACUCCCCAGAACCUGUACAUACAGCACCUUACAUGGCAAAAGUGACUUUGCAGAUACGAUUGAGUUAAGGGUUUUGAGAUAGGGAGAUUACCAGGUGGCCCAACGGAAUCACAAGGGGCCUGAUAAGUAUGAGAGGGAGCAGAAGAGUGAGGGUCAGAGUCAGAGAGAGACUGGAAGAUGCUAUACCACUGGCUUUGAAGAUGAAGGAGGGGGACACAAGCCAAGGAAUGCAGGCAGCCUCUAAAUGCAGGAAAAGGUUUACUCCAUUCAUUAGAGGAGAUGACAGAACUCUUGACAGCAAUGCUAUCAAGAAGGAAGUUUCAGUUUAAGAACCCCUCUGGGCUUGCAGAAUGACACACACUGCAGCCAAGAUGGUGCUACUAUAAGAAAUGGACUCCCCAGCACGUUAUUGAAGAAAAAAAAAACCUGCAGCAAUCAAAAAAAAAAGGGGGGACGGGGGCAAAUCUAUAACUUCAGCUGGAAGUGAUGAAAAUUAACUGUUAGAAGUAGAAGAGACCUUAUGCUACUAAAAUAAUAAUCAUCACUUCAAAUAUUUCCUGCUCUUGAAAUAUUUUGUCAGUGCCCUGUGAUAUCGGGAAAUAAAGUUACGUUCAUUUCCA
RNAcentral lists this long non-coding RNA (1544 nucleotides) under Homo sapiens (human). Its description in RNAcentral is "uncharacterized LOC101927259, transcript variant 2 (LOC101927259)". The record is from RNAcentral. Lineage: Eukaryota; Metazoa; Chordata; Mammalia; Primates; Hominidae.